This is a non-coding RNA of Apodemus sylvaticus (European woodmouse), 479 nucleotides long. Lineage: Eukaryota; Metazoa; Chordata; Mammalia; Rodentia; Muridae. The record is from the annotation of a RefSeq genome assembly.
CAUACAUAGACAUGAGUGUGCCUACUCAGCUCCUGGGGUUGCUGCUGCUAUGGCUUACAGGUGCCAGAUGUGACAUCCAGAUGACUCAAUCUCCAGCCUCCCUGGCUGCAUCUCUGGGAGAAAGUGUCACCAUAACAUGUCAAGCAAGUGAGAACAUUUACAAGUAUUUAGCAUGGUAUAAGCAAACAGCAGGGAAAUCUCCUCAGCUCCUUAUCUAUGGAGCGACCAACUUGGCACAUGGUGUCCCAUCGAGGUUCAGUGGCAGUGGAUCUGGCACACAGUAUUUUCUCAAGAUUAACAAUUUUCAGACUGAAGAUGUUUCAACUUAUUACUGUCAAAGUGCUUUAAAUACCCCUUCCACAGUGAUUUAUCCCAUGACGUAAACCACCCAUAGAAGCAGAAGUGAGAAUGCUGGCUGGUGUUUCCAGCUGCUCAACUGUUAAGUGUUUCACUUUGUGAGGGCUUAAAAUUCAAUGGAA